GACGAACGCUGGCGGCGCGCCUAACACAUGCAAGUCGCACGAGAAAGGGCUUCGGCCCCGGUACAGUGGCGCACGGGUGAGUAACACGUAGGUAAUCUGCCCUUGGGUGGUGGAUAACCCUCCGAAAGGAGGGCUAAUACAGCAUGAGACCACGGCAUCCACGGAUGCUGCGGCCAAAGUAGGCCUCUCUAAAGAAGCUUAACGCCAGAGGAUGAACCUGCGGCCCAUCAGCUUGUUGGUAAGGUAACGGCUUACCAAGGCAAAGACGGGUAGCUGGUCUGAGAGGAUGAACAGCCACACUGGAACUGAGACACGGUCCAGACUCCUACGGGAGGCAG
This 338-nucleotide ribosomal RNA is filed under the name uncultured Pseudomonadota bacterium. RNAcentral describes it as "bacterial SSU rRNA". It matches the Rfam family "Bacterial small subunit ribosomal RNA", at positions 28 to 351 of the family's 1533-position model. Lineage: Bacteria; Pseudomonadati; Pseudomonadota. The record is from RNAcentral.